GAAGCAGAACGCAGUCUUCAGAGAUAUCCACGUGAACGCUGUGAUACGUCUGACCUUCAGUCCGAAGAAGAAACCCAGACCAGUCUUAAAAGAAAGCACAAACCAAAUCCCCUGUACACAUAUACAGACUCAGAGGAUGAGCAGCCUACAAAAAAACGGUUUCCCCAGGCCCCUCGAGUGAAAAUACCAGCCCUCAUCACUCCGCAGUCUGCCCCCCAGCCCACUGAUAGCAACCAU
Long non-coding RNA from Pelmatolapia mariae (spotted tilapia), 237 nucleotides. RefSeq lists it as uncharacterized. NCBI's taxonomy places the organism in Eukaryota, Metazoa, Chordata, Actinopteri, Cichliformes, Cichlidae. The record is from RefSeq and is a predicted model, not a curated record. The transcript is spliced from 3 exons.